RNAcentral lists this ribosomal RNA (465 nucleotides) under uncultured bacterium. RNAcentral's name for it is "partial 16S ribosomal RNA". It matches the Rfam family "Bacterial small subunit ribosomal RNA", at positions 28 to 507 of the family's 1533-position model. The record is from RNAcentral.
GACGAACGCUGGCGGCGUGCUUAACACAUGCAAGUCGAACGGAAAGGCCCCUUUGGGGGUCCUCGAGUGGCGAACGGGUGAGUAACACGUGAGUAACCUGCCCUUGACUUCGGGAUAACUUCAGGAAACUGGGGCUAAUACCGGAUAGGAAUCCUUGCUGCAUGGUGGGGGUUGGAAAGCUUCGGCGGUUUUGGAUGGACUCGCGGCUUAUCAGCUUGUUGGUGGGGUAGUGGCUUACCAAGGCUUUGACGGGUAGCCGGCCUGAGAGGGCGACCGGCCACCUUGGGACUGAGAUACGGCCCAGACUCCUACGGGAGGCAGCAGUGGGGAAUAUUGCCCAAUGGGCGGAAGCCUGAUGCAGCAACGCCGCGUGCGGGAUGACGGCCUUCGGGUUGUAAACCGCUUUCAGCAGGGGCGAAGCUUGUGGUGACGGUACCUGCAGAAGAAGCACCGGCUAACUACGUG